GAGGCUCAGCCGCUCGCGGUGGAGAAAGCAGGCCGCGGAGGAGGCGGGCGCCCAGGCCUGCCCGGACAGGAAGUGGGCCCAGCUUUCCCACUCCUCGCUCCGCUCCUUCCUCCGCGGGAAGGGCAGGCCCCGGAGGCAGCGAGCGCCCCGGGGGUGGCCGGGCAGCCGGAUGCUCCCGGGGUUGCGGGCUGUGGCCCCGGGGGCUGAGGGCGGCGCGGGUGCGGCGGAAGCAGGGAAGCCGCGAACCGGCCUUCUGGCUGGCCACAGCGCCCUGCACGGACGAUCAGUGAAUGGAGAUUACUCAAGUAUUUAUCGAGAACUUGCAGUGGGCUAGGCACAGUUCAGGUAGAUCAACAAACCGAAAGACCCUGCCCUAGGGGAGCUUUCGCUCCAAUGCGGGGAGAGGGUGGAUGAUUGCAGUUUUGCCCAGUAAUUUUUGGGACCCUCAUGCCACCAUUAAUUAGCUACACACAUUUCACCGAAAGUCUACCUUACAUAUUAAUCAGAAGAAGUGGAAGAAUAAACACAGAAGAAGCAAAAAAGGAAGGAACUUUCUCACUGAAAGUUUCUAUUUAAUAUUAAGUCUUAAAAGUACUCCUGGAAGGACAAAAGGUGUUCUUAAUAAAUUAUAUUCGCAAAUAUUGGAUUUAAUCCUACCAGUAAUGAAGCAGUCAGUUACUUUCUAGAUGUGCAGAAAUACGUAAUGAACAAAAAAAACUAAUUCCUAUUCCAUUUUUUAUUAGGUCCACAGUUAUUUCACUUCUAAAUAAAUAUGGUUUUUUAAAAGUGGCACGCGGUGGAAUGUAAUUGAGACAGGAUGGAGUUCCUAGAGAAAUUUUACUUCCUCAAUCUGCACUCCACCUUACUUAAAAUACAGUCUUGGGUCUGUAAUUCCCUUAUCUGACUCUCAAGGAAAUGACAAAGUAAUGCCUAGAUUGGACUAAACCUCAUUUAACUUCAAGGCUGACCUUUCUCAAAGUUGAACCUUCGUCUUGUGAGGAACAGAAAGAUCAAGAACUCUGAAGCACCUCGACUUUCCACCUGUGAAGAUGUGUUCAAAUUUGCAACGUGCGGCCACACCUAUGAGGCAGGAGUGCAGUGGCGAGAUCUGGACUCACUGCAACCUCUGCCUCCUGGCUUCAAGCAAUUCUCAUGCUUCAGCCUGUAGCUGGAACUACAGGUCACUCCCUCUGGAGGAAACCAGCUGCCACUUUGUGAGGAUACUCAUAGUCCUGUGGAGGCAUAUCCUCCAUAUGGCUGAGACCUCCUGCGAACAACCAUCACUGACUUGCCAGACAUGAGUGUGCCACCUUGGAAGCAGAUUUUCCAGCCCCAGUUAAGCCUUCAGAUGACAUCAGCCCCUGCUAAUCUCUUGACUACAACCUCAUGAGAGACCCUGAGCCAGAACUAGCCAGGCUUACCCCUCAUGGUUACAAAGUGGCUGCAACAGCUCCAGGUGUUCUAUCCUUUAACACAGAAUAACUCAAACAACAAGACCCAAUAUUCAGACAAGAAGGAAAGGGACUUUUGGAGAGUGAAGAAAACUUUCCUAGAAACCUCAAACUUCUCCCCAUGCCUUAUUGGCCAGAUUGUAUCCCAUGCCCAUUUCUAAACCAAUCAUUGGCAAAGUGAGUGGAAUUGACGUGAUUAGAUUAACUUUACCAAGAAUGCAUCCUCAGAGAGGCUGAGAAAAAGUCCAGCCUCCUUUGAAGAGCCUGGCUACCUUUCACCUGAACAAAACAAGAAUUCUGAUGAAAAAUGGAGAAUGUAUGUGGAGCAGGCACCCGGAGUGUCUAUGCCAGGAUUUUUUUUCAGUGCGUUUCACCGGUUAUAUUUUUGUCUCUUUACCUUACAAGAUAUGUGGCACGUUUGCCUAAAACAAGCCUUGCUUUCUGAUUUCUGUGCACUAGGCACUUAAACCUUGCAAAUGUCGCUUACCUAACAGUCACUGUCAAGGAGUACCUGGCUAAAGAAUCUCCAGCUAGACAAAGUAGAAGUGUCUGUGCUCUGGCAGUUGAAUAUAUUGUAUCAGGCUCAACAGCACCUUUCACCAAAGGAUGAGACUUCACAACCAUUAGAUCUUCUUUUAUUUUGUUUUUAUUAAAAAAAAAAAUUUUAACACACCAUUGCUAACUUGAAGCCAUUAGAUCUUCUUACCCCCAAUACCACAAAAGUUUAGUGGAAUCAGGGGUAUACCAAGGCAGGUGGAGUAGGGGAGCUGGGAGUGGUCAGCCCCCAGGGCAGGCAAUGAGGGAUUGUGAAUCUGUGAAGAAUUUUAAAGCAAUGAUACAGCUCUAAAUGCAAUGUACUAUCCUGGACUUAGCCCUGGAAAAGAAAAAAGAUAUUAGUGGAAAAACUGGUAAAAUUCAAAUAAUGUCUGUAGUUUGGUUAAUAGUAUUAUACCAAUGUUAAUUUCUGUGUUUUGAUAAAUGUACCAUGGUUAUGUAAGCUGGAUGAAAGAUAUGUGGGAAAUCUCUCUACUAUUUCUGCAACUCUCCUGUAAACCUAAAAAUGUUUCAAAAUAAAAGAUUUAAUGCU
Molecule: long non-coding RNA, 2538 nt
Filed under: Homo sapiens (human)
Lineage: Eukaryota; Metazoa; Chordata; Mammalia; Primates; Hominidae
Description: non-protein coding TRAM2-AS1:7
Source: RNAcentral